CCCGCUCAGAAACUCAAAGGAAUUGACGGGGCCGCACAAGCGGUGGAGCAUUGUGGUUUAAUUCGAUGAUACGCGAGGAACCUUACCUGGGCUCAAAUGUAUGUUGACGUAUUCUGAAAGGGAUACUUCUUCGGACAAUAUACAAGGUGCUGCAUGGUUGUCGUCAGCUCGUGCCGUGAGGUGUCGGGUUAAGUCCCAUAACGAGCGCAACCCCUAUCAUUAGUUGCCAUCAGGUCAAGCUGGGGACUCUAAUGAAACUGCCUACGCAAGUAGUGAGGAAGGUGGGGAUGACGUCAAGUCAUCAUGGCCCUUACGGCCUGGGCUACACACGUGCUACAAUGGUCGGUACAAAGGGUUGCCAAGCCGCGAGGUGGAGCUAAUCCCAUAAAACCGAUCGUAGUCCGGAUCGCAGUCUGCAACUCGACUGCGUGAAGUCGGAAUCGCUAGUAAUCGUGAAAUCAGAAUGUCACGGUGAAUACGUUCCCGGGCCUU
This 492-nucleotide ribosomal RNA is filed under the name uncultured Sphingobacteriales bacterium. Its description in RNAcentral is "bacterial SSU rRNA". It matches the Rfam family "Bacterial small subunit ribosomal RNA", at positions 888 to 1382 of the family's 1533-position model. The record is from RNAcentral. Lineage: Bacteria; Pseudomonadati; Bacteroidota; Sphingobacteriia; Sphingobacteriales.